CGGCGGAAGUGGACUCUCGCCGCCGCCAGUCCGGGAAAAUGCUGUGUGUAUUGUGUUGGGGGCUGUGCUUUGGCCUGUGCAGCCUCCUGGUGGGGCAGGUGGAGGCCCCGAGCCCAGUGGAGCCGCCGGAGCAGAGCCGGCCGUACGCGGUGCUGCGUGGGCAGAACCUGGUGUUGAUGGGAACCAUUUUCAGCAUCCUGCUGGUGACUAUGAUCCUUAUGGCAUUUUGUGUCUACAAGCCCAUUCGGCGUCGAUGACAGCUGAGCAAGCAAGUUCUUCAAGUGUCUGGGAACAGAAUCAGUUGUGUUGCACAUGGGUCACUGGAGAAGUCGGAAUUUGAACUUCCCUGCUUGGAAAUGACCUUUGGUCUGGACAGUUGGUAAAUGCUAAAUGAUUUAGAAAAAAACAUCUAGCAGUUAUUUUUUCCUAACACUGUAAUGCAAAUAAUUGGCCACUGAGUCUGCUUCUCAUUGUUUCUUUUUAUAUGUGGCUACAAUUGUUAAAAGUAAGACCUAAAGCUCAGUGUAAAGAUGGAGUGCUUACAAGAAAGAAAACACAGCAACCUUGUGAGUGACAGAAAAACCACAUUGGAAAGGACUAAUCAUUAAUAUUUGAAAAUGUUAAGAGGAAGGAAUAAUAUGUAGACAGGCAUUCCCAACUUAAGAACCAUUUGGUGGCCAAUGGGUUAAGAAUCACAAGUGUUUUUAAUUAUGCUGGGCUGGCCUCGAGUACUCCAGUUGCAAAGCACUCAGUGUCAGCUGGGGGAACUUAGGCCCUUGCUCUUCAUGUAGCAUUGAGCUCUGCACUCAGAUGCCCCCACUGAAGUCAAGGUCAAAACAGGUAGGCCUGUGAUCGUGUGUACCUUUGGGCUGGAAGGCCCUGGGCCCUGGGGUUGGACUGAGAAUGCUUCUAGUUAGUUGGCCAUCCGAGAAAGGACAGCUUCCUGCCCAAACAUACGGAUCUCCUUUGUGUUGCACUUAAAUCUUUCCAGCCCUUGGCCUAAAACUUAUGGCAGCUCUUCGGAUUUGGAAUAGACUCAGCGGGAACUCCUUCUUUUCAGCCCCGAGUGGGGAGACUCAUCCCGCAGAAGUGCCUGUUCGCUGUACCAGGCAGAGUGGCGGGUGGGUAUGUGUUUACACAAAUUUAAUUUCACCUUUGAAAAUGCUGCUGGUUGUUUGCACUGUUGGUGAACUGGAUUUCCCCCCUCUGUUGAAAUGAUACUUUCAGACUUACAAGGCGGUUAUCAGUAUUUAUUUUAUUUUAAAGGUGCUAGGUUUAAUUUUGUUAUUAAUUUGAAAUGCUUACCUUGUGCUCCAUUCAGGCACAGCACUGAUUGUUUUUUUGUAACAACCCGCACUUACUGUGAAAUAAUUGAUGUGGAAUCUUGCAACUCUUUGACUUAAGGCCUUUGUUUGUAACCCUAACAUUGAGCCAUUCAAAUGUGAACUGUUGUGUGCUUUGCAGCAAAUGCCAAUUAAAAUUAAAGUAAAAUCUUA
Phyllostomus discolor (pale spear-nosed bat) is the source of this 1496-nucleotide long non-coding RNA. RefSeq lists it as uncharacterized. The record is from RefSeq and is a predicted model, not a curated record. Lineage: Eukaryota; Metazoa; Chordata; Mammalia; Chiroptera; Phyllostomidae. The transcript is spliced from 2 exons.